UUAUUGUAACUAUAUUCAUACUGUUCAUCUCUCAUUCUUAAAGCAUGUGCAAGUAUCUGGUUUUAUCGAGUCUAGUUCUGCUUGUACAACAAGAAAAUAAGUAGGUCUAAGAUAGACCUAAUAUUGGAAACUAAUUUGUUUCUCAAGUGGAGUUCAUCUUCUCAAGCAUGACAUUGUCAUCACUACUAUAAUAAGCAUUCUUCUUCUCCAAUUUGAAAAAAAGAAGAAGAAGAAAGCAAACAAUUUACUUGGCGAUUUUGCUCCAUUUGAAGGUUUUACUUGGAGUGGGAGAAACCAUUUCUUCGCGGACGUGUCCCAAGGUACUUCUUUUGAAUGGUACUCAUGAUCGAGAAACUAGUGGCUUUGGUGCUUCUUGCUUUGUGACUGCCAUUACUGAUGCCUUAAAUCGAACUUAUGGAAAUCCUCACAACUGUCUUAAAAAUCCUCCAAACAAAUAUCUCAACACCCUUCUGGUGCCAAAAAAUGGCCAAAUACAUGUGGAUAUAGAACGCCUGGCUUCUCAGGGAAUUUUCAAUGUGGUCACUGUGGAUUCCAUCCAUGAUCCAAAAAUGGGAGUGCUUUUCGAUCCUAAAUCAUUGAUUCAAGCGCUUUCUAAUUUGUUGACGGACACGUGAGCCUGAAUGCUAUUGUGGCUCGUUAAACCUUAAUUUAUCAGAAAUUGAGAAGCUGGUGGCACAGUAGUGUUUUGAAGAAUCUCCAUUUUUUGCGUAACUUGCAAGGAAUAAUUUUAAUGCUGAUAUGGCAGGAUUGAAGAGAAACAGGCUCUUCCGAGACACUUGGUAGAUAACAAUUCAAGCACUUCUGCAUUGAUUUCAACUUCCUGAAGUCUGAAGGAUGAUGGUAAGGCUUGCAUAGUUUCAGAAGCUGUAGAAUAUGACGUAGGAAUUUCUUUGAUUUUAUUCAGCUCUAAUGGGAAUAGGCAUCGCUCACAAUUGAGCUGAAACACAUGUGAUGUUUCAAAUUUUAUAUGAAUUUGGACUUGUACAUAUUGAAAUUUGUGCCAACCACAACUAGUUCAGGAUUGGGGCAUAGUUGUUGAACAUAAUGAAAUUUUGUGCAUAUCAAGGGCCUUAUUUUAAAUGAAAAUGUUCACUUUUUAUGA
Non-coding RNA from Nicotiana tabacum (common tobacco), 1123 nucleotides. Lineage: Eukaryota; Viridiplantae; Streptophyta; Magnoliopsida; Solanales; Solanaceae. The record is from RefSeq and is a predicted model, not a curated record.